RNAcentral lists this ribosomal RNA (650 nucleotides) under uncultured bacterium. RNAcentral's name for it is "bacterial SSU rRNA". It matches the Rfam family "Bacterial small subunit ribosomal RNA", at positions 75 to 757 of the family's 1533-position model. The record is from RNAcentral.
GGGGAGGUACUUCGGGUGUGGAAGUGGCGGACGGGUGAGUAACACGUGGGAACAUGCCUUUCAGUAUGGAACAACCAUUGGAAACGAUGGCUAAUACCGUAUACGCCCUUCGGGGGAAAGAUUUAUCGCUGAAAGAUUGGCCCGCGCUAGAUUAGCUAGUUGGUAAGGUAAUGGCUUACCAAGGCUACGAUCUAUAGCUAGUUUGAGAGGAUGAUCAGCCACACUGGGACUGAGACACGGCCCAGACUCCUACGGGAGGCAGCAGUGGGGAAUAUUGGACAAUGGGGGCAACCCUGAUCCAGCGAUGCCGCGUGAGUGAUGAAGGCCUUAGGGUUGUAAAACUCUUUCAGGGGUGAAGAUAAUGACGGUAACCCCAGAAGAAGCUCCGGCUAACUCCGUGCCAGCAGCCGCGGUAAUACGGAGGGAGCUAGCGUUGUUCGGAAUUACUGGGCGUAAAGCGCGCGUAGGCGGCUUAGCAAGUUGGGGGUGAAAUCCCGGGGCUUAACCUCGGAACUGCCCUCAAAACUGCUGAGCUAGAAUCCUGGAGAGGUGAGCGGAAUUCCUAGUGUAGAGGUGAAAUUCGUAGAUAUUAGGAAGAACACCAGUGGCGAAGGCGGCUCACUGGACAGGUAUUGACGCUGAGGUGCGAA